Vombatus ursinus (common wombat) is the source of this 495-nucleotide long non-coding RNA. RefSeq lists it as uncharacterized. NCBI's taxonomy places the organism in Eukaryota, Metazoa, Chordata, Mammalia, Diprotodontia, Vombatidae. The transcript is spliced from 4 exons. The record is from RefSeq and is a predicted model, not a curated record.
UGACUCUGAAUAAAGUAUACUUUGAGGAACUAGGGUUCUUUUAGUGCCACAUCAUCAGAAACCCUGCCCCAGAAUGAGGUAAAAAGGCACCCAACCAGAGAGCCUAGAGUAUUCAUCCGAAUCGUUCUGACACAUUAAGCUGCUGUUGAAGCAUCAGAGAAAAAUCCUGAGAAUAUGAAGAACCUUCUCAUGACCAUGGGGCUGGCUUCAGUCUGUGGCCUCCAGAUCCUCAAUAAUCAAUAACAACUUGGGAGAUGUGUCAAAAGUUAAAGAAGUUCUAGUUUUUCUCCACAAUGAACCUGAGAUAAGGAAGAACAUUAUUAUGCCUAUUUUGCAGGAAAAAUGGCAAAUGCUUUCAAUUUUCUUUGAUUCCUUUCAUAGGAGAUGAUGGUCAAAUGUGUGUGCAAUAUGAUGGACUGAAUGAUUUCUCCCUUCAAAGUGUAGACUCUAAACAUGCCAUGUUAGUCUUGAAUAAUAUCAACAAUGGGAAAGUGG